UCUAUAGGGUAUUGUAGAACUCGAACUAUUGGUCCUUGUGCACCGGAUAGAACUCCAUGUCAACCUGAUGAAAGUACAAAUUGUUCUUCAGAAUUUCGUUACAAACAAAAGCACAACAUUGAUUUUGAUGUAAUUUGACCUGGACUGCGACAUCUUUAUAACUUAAAAACAUCUUACUUUCAGUUAUUAUUAAAGCCUUUAUUCAAAAUGUAAACGAAAGUAAAAAUUGUUAUUAGAAAUUUGGCAUAGACUGCUGGGUAAUCUUGCAGGGGAAUCAAGGGUCUCAUGUGUAUAAGCAGGAUGCAACAAAUAUUCCAAUGUUUAAAUAUACAAAAGUGAUAUACAGGUUUUAUGAUUGUCAUAUCCUUUCUAUUUUCUGAAUUACCUACUGUAUUCAGAAGAAUAAGGCAGAACGUGUACAUGGACUUAAAGUGAAUUUACAUUGAUUACUUCCAGGAAGUUAACACCGAAAAGAAAAAUUGGGCGACAUUUACAGAUUCAUGGAACUUAACUGAGUUUUUUUAAAUCGAAAAAAAAUAACGCCAAAAUGAAAAUUACAGGAAGUCUUCAUUACACUAACAACUUCAUUCAUGAUUUUUUUCAGGGUUGAGAAACAGGAAGAACAUGUUUAAAAGUUUUUAAUUAAAAGUGGAAGUGGCACGCUGGAGGUGGUAGAAUACACAUUUCGAUCGGAACGUCGGGUGUCGAUUGGUUGAGAAUAUUACUCUACUGGAAAUGGCUGCAAAAUCAACAAAUAUUUUUGAGUUUAACGAUAAUUAUUAUAAACAAUAAAAUAAGUAAUCAUGAUAAUAUGCACGACAUGUCCAUAAAUUACGUCACAUACUUUUUUUACCUUUUCUUUAAUUUUUAAUUGUGAAA
Molecule: long non-coding RNA, 879 nt
Organism: Leptopilina boulardi
Lineage: Eukaryota; Metazoa; Arthropoda; Insecta; Hymenoptera; Figitidae
Exons: 4
Source: RefSeq, a predicted model, not a curated record